AUUUGCCUUGACAAGAGAGCUGAUAAGAAGAUCACAGGAAGUCCGUGUGGACCAUUCAAUGAAAAACGGCUGUGGGAGUACACCAGCCUCAAUGAGCUGAAGCAAGAGUUAGAUUGCAUUGAUUACACUGGAGAAGGAGCAGAAUUAUCCACAUAUCACUGUCACAAGGGCAAAGGAAAUCAGCUAUGGACAUGGAACAAUUCGACAAAGCAAAUACGUCACGGUUAUCAUAAUGCAUGCCUUGGAAUACAGUUUACAGACAAGGGUUCUACGAGGAUAGAGAU
Molecule: long non-coding RNA, 284 nt
Organism: Strongylocentrotus purpuratus (purple sea urchin)
Lineage: Eukaryota; Metazoa; Echinodermata; Echinoidea; Camarodonta; Strongylocentrotidae
Exons: 3
Source: RefSeq, a predicted model, not a curated record